Molecule: ribosomal RNA, 698 nt
Filed under: Erysiphe lonicerae
Lineage: Eukaryota; Fungi; Ascomycota; Leotiomycetes; Helotiales; Erysiphaceae
Description: partial large subunit ribosomal RNA
Rfam family: Eukaryotic large subunit ribosomal RNA
Source: RNAcentral
GAAGCGGUAACAGCUCAAAUUUGAAAUCUGGCUCCUCUGGAGUCCGAGUUGUAAUUUGUAGAAGAUGCUUUGGGUUGUGGGUUCGGCCUAAGUUCCUUGGAACAGGACGUCAUAGAGGGUGAGAAUCCCGUAUGCGGCCGAGGCCCGCGCCUAUGUAAAGCUCUUUCAACGAGUCGAGUUGUUUGGGAAUGCAGCUCAAAAUGGGUGGUAAAUUUCAUCUAAAGCUAAAUAUGGGCCAGAGACCGAUAGCGCACAAGUAGAGUGAUCGAAAGAUGAAAAGCACUUUGGACAGAGAGUUAAACAGUACGUGAAAUUGUUGAAAGGGAAGCGCUUGCACCCAGACUUGGGCGCUGCUGAUCACCUUGCGGUCUCCGCGAGUGCACUCGACAGCGCACAGGCCAGCAUCGGUUCGGGUGGCUGGAUAAAGGCCGUAGGAACGUAGCUCCCUUCGGGGAGUGUUAUAGCCUAGGGUGCCAUGCAGCCCAGCCGGACCGAGGACCGCGCCUUCGGGCUAGGAUGCUGGCGUAAUGGGUGUAAGCGACCCGUCUUGAAACACGGACCAAGGAGUCUAACAUCUAUGCGAGUGUUUGGGUGGUAAACCCAUACGCGGAAUGAAAGUGAACGUAGGUGAGAACCCCUUUGGGGCGCAUCAUCGACCGAUCCUGAUGUCUUCGGAUGGAUUUGAGUAAGAGCAUAGC